This 406-nucleotide small RNA is filed under the name Histoplasma capsulatum. RNAcentral describes it as "hypothetical RNA". The record is from RNAcentral. Lineage: Eukaryota; Fungi; Ascomycota; Eurotiomycetes; Onygenales; Ajellomycetaceae. RNAcentral also lists the same sequence under 1 other name.
UCUAUCAAGAACAUCUAAUCCCUCAUCUUGAUACACUCACAUCUCUGCCAGAAUUAAUCUUUAGUUAUUUAACCAGUUAUCGUCAGCAACACAAAAUGGGGCGAUAUCAAAAUAUUCAGGAGGUUAUCAACAUGUAUAACGGAUUGGCAACAAAAUUCGACGCUGUGUAUCAUGACCACCAAUCCGACAUCUCUAUAUUCGCCAAAUUCGCUGCUCCACAGCUUAAUGAGAAUUGUUUGGAUCUCGGUACAGGAUCUGGUCGGCUUUUGAUAGAGAUGAAGAAACACAUUGAAGAUGGAACUUGUGGAGGAAUUGAUGUGGCGGAACAGCUUCUAGAGAUUGAUGCCAAAUACAACAUCACAGCAGCAGGUUUCAUACCUCUGAACAACAAAAAAUCUGAACAGCG